GACGUAGGGGGCAAGCGUUGUCCGGAUUUAUUGGGCGUAAAGAGCUCGUAGGCGGUCUGUCGCGUCGGCUGUGAAAUCCCGGAGCUCAACUCCGGGCCUGCAGUCGAUACGGGCAGACUGGAGUUCGGCAGGGGAGACUGGAAUUCCUGGUGUAGCGGUGAAAUGCGCAGAUAUCAGGAGGAACACCGGUGGCGAAGGCGGGUCUCUGGGCCGAUACUGACGCUGAGGAGCGAAAGCGUGGGGAGCGAACAGG
RNAcentral lists this ribosomal RNA (253 nucleotides) under uncultured bacterium. RNAcentral describes it as "partial 16S ribosomal RNA". It matches the Rfam family "Bacterial small subunit ribosomal RNA", at positions 524 to 776 of the family's 1533-position model. The record is from RNAcentral.